AGAAUCAACGCUGGCGGCGUGCCUAACACAUGCAAGUCGCACGAGAAAGGGUAGCAAUACCUGAGUAAAGUGGCACACGGGUGAGUAACACGUGAAUGAUCUACCUCCGAGUGGGGAAUAACUGAGAGAAAUCUUAGCUAAUACCGCAUAACACUUACGAGUCAAAGCAGCAAUGCGCUUGGAGAGGAGUUCGCGGCCGAUUAGUUAGUUGGCGGGGUAAUGGCCCACCAAGACGAUGAUCGGUA
This 245-nucleotide ribosomal RNA is filed under the name uncultured bacterium. RNAcentral describes it as "partial small subunit ribosomal RNA". It matches the Rfam family "Bacterial small subunit ribosomal RNA", at positions 26 to 285 of the family's 1533-position model. The record is from RNAcentral.